RNAcentral lists this ribosomal RNA (424 nucleotides) under uncultured bacterium. RNAcentral's name for it is "bacterial SSU rRNA". It matches the Rfam family "Bacterial small subunit ribosomal RNA", at positions 917 to 1345 of the family's 1533-position model. The record is from RNAcentral.
GGGCCCGCACAAGCGGUGGAGUAUGUGGUUUAAUUCGAUGCAACGCGAAGAACCUUACCAGGGCUUAAAUGCAGAACGACAGAGGUGGAAACACCUCCUUCUUCGGACGGUCUGCAAGGUGCUGCAUGGUUGUCGUCAGCUCGUGCUGUGAAGUGUCGGGUUAAGUCCCAUAACGAGCGCAACCCCUAUUUCUAGUUGCCAGCGGUUCGGCCGGGGACUCUAGAGAAACUGCCAGCGUAAGCUGUGAGGAAGGUGGGGAUGACGUCAAAUCAUCACGGCCCUUACGUCCUGGGCUACACACGUGCUACAAUGGUAGGGACAGAGAGUUGCCAACCCGCGAGGGUGAGCUAAUCUUCAAACCCUAUCUCAGUUCGGAUCGGAGUCUGCAACUCGACUCCGUGAAGUUGGAAUCGCUAGUAAUCGC